GCUGUCGGAUUGCAGCCCCGGGNUGGCACAGGGGGACAGGAGAGGGACAGGACAGGAGGACAGGAGAGGGACAGGAGAGGGACAAGGGGACAGGAGCAGGACAGAGGGACAGGGGGACAGGAGAGGGACAGGACAGGGGGACAGGGAGUGGCACAGGAGGACAGGAGAGGGGACAGGACAGGGGGACAGGAGAGGGACAGGGGGACAGGGACACACUGCCCUAACAACCCGAGGUUCCCAGGUGCCCACGGCUGGGGAGUGGCGGCAGCUGCGGCCCCGGGAUUGUCCCCAACCUGUCCCUGUUUUCCCCAGGCUGUCCCAGACUGUCCCUGUUGUCCCCAGGCUGUCCCCAGCUGUCGCCAGCUGUCCCCAGGCUGUCCCCAGCUGUCCCCAGGCUGUCCCCAGCUGUCCCAGGGCUCUCCCAGGCUCUCCCAGGGCUGUCCCCAGCUGUCCCCAGGUUGUCCCCAGCUGUCCCAGGGCUAUCCCAGGGCUGUCCCCAGGCUAUCACAGGCUCUCCCAGGGCUGUCCCUGUUGUCCCCAGCUGUCCCAGGGCUAUCCCAGGCUCUCCCAGGGCUGUCCCCAGGCUCUCCCAGGGCUGUCCCUGUUGUCCCCAGCUGUCCCCAGGCUCUCCCAGGGCUGUCCCAGGGCUGUCCCUGUUGUCCCCAGGCUGUCCCCAGCUGUCCCCAGCUGUCCCUGUUGUCCCCAGCUGUCCCUGUUGUCCCCAGCUGUCCCCAGGGCUGUCCCUGUUGUCCCCAGCUGUCCCCAGGCUAUCCCAGGCUGUCCCCAGGCUAUCCCAGGGCUAUCCCAGGCUGUCCCCAGCUGUCCCCAGGCUCUCUCAGGCUGUCCCCAGGCUCUCCCAGGGCUGUCCCCAGCUGUCCCUGUUGUCCCCAGGCUGUCCCCAGCUGUCCCCAGGCUAUCCCAGGCUGUCCCCAGGCUCUCCCAGGGCUGUCCCAGGCUGUCCCAAGCUGUCCCCAGCUGUCCCCAGCUGUCCCAGGGCUAUCCCAGGCUCUCCCAGGCUGUCCCCAGGCUCUCCCAGGCUGUCCCUGUUGUCCCCAGCUGUCCCCAGCCGUGCCGGUACAUUCAGUGUUUGUCGCAGGGUCUAUGGCUCAGGGGGCGGCGCCCCUCGCUCGGGCAGUGCAAAAACACCCGCUGAAAUGUCAAUUCUUCCUUUUUCUCUUUUGUGCUGUUGGGUUCUUUUAUUUUUUAUUAUUAAUAUAUUUUUUUUUUAUUAUUCCUUCUUUUUUAACUUUUUUUUUUUUUUAA
RNAcentral lists this long non-coding RNA (1263 nucleotides) under Cyanistes caeruleus (blue tit). RNAcentral describes it as "lncRNA (ENSCCEG00000022128.1)". The record is from RNAcentral. Lineage: Eukaryota; Metazoa; Chordata; Aves; Passeriformes; Paridae.